Molecule: RNase P RNA, 214 nt
Filed under: Gallionellaceae bacterium
Lineage: Bacteria; Pseudomonadati; Pseudomonadota; Betaproteobacteria; Nitrosomonadales; Gallionellaceae
Description: partial RNase P RNA component class A
Rfam family: Bacterial RNase P class A
About the family: Ribonuclease P (RNase P) is a ubiquitous endoribonuclease, found in archaea, bacteria and eukarya as well as chloroplasts and mitochondria. Its best characterised activity is the generation of mature 5'-ends of tRNAs by cleaving the 5'-leader elements of precursor-tRNAs.
Source: RNAcentral
GAAGCUGGCUAGACAGUCGCCGCACACGCAAGUGUGGGGAGGAAAGUCCGGGCUCCGUAGAGCAGGAUGCCGGUUAAUGGCCGGACACCGUGAGGUGAUGAACAGUGCCACAGAAAAUACACCGCCGAUGGCUGCGCAAGCGGAUCAGGCAAGGUUGAAAUGGCGGGGUAAGAGCCCACCGCGGUCGUGGCGACAUGGCUGGCCGGCAAGCGUC